This 972-nucleotide long non-coding RNA is filed under the name Linum usitatissimum (flax). Its description in RNAcentral is "long non-coding RNA (LUSI_LNC003143)". Lineage: Eukaryota; Viridiplantae; Streptophyta; Magnoliopsida; Malpighiales; Linaceae. The record is from RNAcentral.
CUUUCCAAUCAGCAAACAAAGUUAUUUUUUGUUUUCCUUCUCCCUAUCUUUCUUCUUCAUAUUGGUGUUCUGGAGACUUGGAGUUAGAGUGUGUGUGGCAGUGCCUCUCAUUAACAAGAAAACUCCUUCUCGGUCUGGAGACUUGGAGUUAAGAGUGUGCGUGGCAGUGCCUCUCAUUAACAAGAAAACUCCCUUUCUUUCUUUCUUUCCUCUCCUAUCUAGCUUAGUGCAACAAUACACAACAUCAACAUUAACUACACCAGCCCCAACUGUUUUCUCUUUCUAUUUCUCUCUCUCUCUCUCUAUUCCUCUCCUAUCUAGCUUAGUGCAACACUACAACAACAACCCCAACUGUUAACUGGAAUCCUUCCUACAAUUUAUCUCAUUCGGAUAGCAGCAACAUCAUCAGCUGCAGCUUCUCUUCCAUCUUCCUUCUCAUGCCAACUUAAUAGGUGAGCUAAUCAAUGAAAUAUGAUCUUUAUAUGCAAACCUAUCCCUCUUUGCACAACUACUGUUGUUGUGAAGCAGUUAGUAAAUGCAGAUUAUACUUCAGAUACAGUCUAAUUACCAUGAUUGAAGUCUAGGUAGGAGACCAAUUAUACAAUUAUUUAUUUAAAAUUACAUGUGGAUUUUCAGAUUUUGUGUUGGAUCCAAGUAUAAUUAGUAGAAGAAAAGGAAGAGCUUUGUUGCAAGUGGGAAUUUGUCUCCUAAUGAUCACAUGCUCAAAAGGCAUCAUCUCUUUUCCUUUCUUUUCUUUUCAUUUCAUCUCAUUUCUAUCAGGGUGGGUUUCUGUACUAAGGAAGGGAAAUAAAUGGUGGAUGUGCCCCCCCCGCCCCCCUUAACAUGAAUUGAAAGGAACAAUUCAUUAGGAACAAUUCACAUAGAUGAAGUCUUAUGAUAAGGAAUACAUGAGGCUGGCAAUGUUGAAGCAUGAAGAGACAUUCAAAGAACAGGUGUGCCCUUUUGGAAUUU